This 656-nucleotide ribosomal RNA is filed under the name Ureibacillus sp. Ta12. RNAcentral describes it as "bacterial SSU rRNA". It matches the Rfam family "Bacterial small subunit ribosomal RNA", at positions 63 to 700 of the family's 1533-position model. Lineage: Bacteria; Bacillati; Bacillota; Bacilli; Caryophanales; Caryophanaceae. The record is from RNAcentral.
CGAGCGAACCAAUUGAAAGCCUGGCUUUCGUGAGGUUAGCGGCGGACGGGUGAGUAACACGUGGGUAACCUGCCCUAUAGACUGGGAUAACUCGCGGAAACGCGUGCUAAUACCGGAUAACACAUCAAAGUGGAUGCUUUGAUGUUGAAAGAUGGUUCUGCUAUCACUAUAGGAUGGGCCCGCGGCGCAUUAGCUUGGUGGUGGGGUAACGGCCUACCAAGGCGACGAUGCGUASCCGACCUGAGAGGGUGAUCGGCCACACUGGGACUGAGACACGGCCCASACUCCUACGGGAGGCAGCAGUAGGGAAUCUUCCACAGUGGGCGAAAGCCUGAUGGAGCMACSCCGCGUGAGCGAAGAAGGUCUUCAGAUCGUAAAGCUCUGUUGUAAGGGAAGAACAAGUGCAGUAAUAACUGGSUGCCCCUUGACGGUACCUUACUAAAAAGCCACGGCUAACUACGUGCCAGCAGCCGCGGUAAUACGUAGGRGGCAAGCGUUGUCCGGAAUUAUUGGGCGUAAAGCGCGCGCAGGCGGUCUCUUAAGUCUGAUGUGAAAGCCCCCGGCUUAACCGGGGAGGGUCAUUGGAAACUGGGAGACUUGAGUGCAAGAGAGGGAAGCGGAAUUCCAUGUGUAGCGGUGAAAUGCGUAAAGAUAUG